RNAcentral lists this ribosomal RNA (207 nucleotides) under uncultured bacterium. Its description in RNAcentral is "partial 16S ribosomal RNA". It matches the Rfam family "Bacterial small subunit ribosomal RNA", at positions 568 to 774 of the family's 1533-position model. The record is from RNAcentral.
CGUGUAGGCGGUACGGUAAGUCGGACGUAAAAGCUCCUGGCUCAACUGGGAGAGGUCGUUCGAAACUGCCGAACUUGAGGACGGUAGAGGAGAGUGGAAUUCCGGGUGUAGUGGUGAAAUGCGUAGAUAUCCGGAGGAACACCAGUGGCGAAGGCGGCUCUCUGGGCCGGUCCUGACGCUGAGACGCGAAAGCUAGGGUAGCAAACG